UAGGAAAUGGUGUAGUGGAAGCACUAAGAGUUUUGAUCUCUUUGGUUUGGGUUCGAGUCCCUUUUUUCUAA
Molecule: transfer RNA, 71 nt
Filed under: Odontobutis platycephala
Lineage: Eukaryota; Metazoa; Chordata; Actinopteri; Gobiiformes; Odontobutidae
Description: tRNA-Gln
Rfam family: tRNA
About the family: Transfer RNA (tRNA) molecules are approximately 80 nucleotides in length. Their secondary structure includes four short double-helical elements and three loops (D, anti-codon, and T loops).
Source: RNAcentral